Molecule: ribosomal RNA, 425 nt
Filed under: uncultured Lysinibacillus sp.
Lineage: Bacteria; Bacillati; Bacillota; Bacilli; Caryophanales; Bacillaceae
Description: bacterial SSU rRNA
Rfam family: Bacterial small subunit ribosomal RNA
Source: RNAcentral
AGGGAAUCUUCCACAAUGGGCGAAAGCCUGAUGGAGCAACGCCGCGUGAGUGAAGAAGGAUUUCGGUUCGUAAAACUCUGUUGUAAGGGAAGAACAAGUACAGUAGUAACUGGCUGUACCUUGACGGUACCUUAUUAGAAAGCCACGGCUAACUACGUGCCAGCAGCCGCGGUAAUACGUAGGUGGCAAGCGUUGUCCGGAAUUAUUGGGCGUAAAGCGCGCGCAGGUGGUUUCUUAAGUCUGAUGUGAAAGCCCACGGCUCAACCGUGGAGGGCAAUUGGAAACGGGGAGACUGGAGGGCAGAAGAGGAUAGUGGAAUUCCAGGUGUAGCGGUGAAAUGCGUAGAGAUUUGGAGAAAAACAAGGGGGGAAGCCGAUAAUCUGGUCUGUAACUGACACUGGGGCGCAAAAGCGUGGGAGCAAACA